GACAGAGGUUGCAAACGUUGUUCGGAAUCACUGGGCAUAAAGCGCACGUAGGCGGUCUGUUAAGUCAGGUGUGAAAGCCCCCGGCUCAACCGGGGAAUUGCAUUUGAUACUGGCAGGCUCGAGAACGGUAGGGGUGAGUGGAACUCCAGGUGGAGCGGUGAAAUGCGUAGAUAUCUGGAGGAACACCGGUGGCGAAAGCGGCUCACUGGACCGUCACUGACGCUGAGGUGCGAAAGCUAGGGUAGCAAACGGG
Molecule: ribosomal RNA, 253 nt
Filed under: uncultured bacterium
Lineage: Bacteria
Description: partial 16S ribosomal RNA
Rfam family: Bacterial small subunit ribosomal RNA
Source: RNAcentral